UACGUAGGGUCCGAGCGUUGUCCGGAAUUAUUGGGCGUAAAGAGCUCGUAGGCGGUUUGUCGCGUCUGCUGUGAAAUCCCGAGGCUCAACCUCGGGCCUGCAGUGGGUACGGGCAGACUGGAGUGCGGUAGGGGAGAAUGGAAUUCCUGGUGUAGCGGUGGAAUGCGCAGAUAUCAGGAGGAACACCGAUGGCGAAGGCGGGUCUCUGGGCAACUACUGACGCUGAGAAGCGAAAGCAUGGGGAGCGAACAGG
RNAcentral lists this ribosomal RNA (253 nucleotides) under uncultured bacterium. RNAcentral's name for it is "partial 16S ribosomal RNA". It matches the Rfam family "Bacterial small subunit ribosomal RNA", at positions 524 to 776 of the family's 1533-position model. The record is from RNAcentral.